RNAcentral lists this non-coding RNA (1179 nucleotides) under Schistosoma mansoni. Its description in RNAcentral is "Eukaryotic large subunit ribosomal RNA". It matches the Rfam family "Eukaryotic large subunit ribosomal RNA", at positions 665 to 1645 of the family's 3401-position model. Lineage: Eukaryota; Metazoa; Platyhelminthes; Trematoda; Strigeidida; Schistosomatidae. The record is from Rfam by way of RNAcentral.
ACCAAGGAGUUUAACAUGUGCGCGAGUCAUUGGGUGUUACGAAACCCAAAGGCGAAGUGAAGGUAAAGGUUCGGCUUGUCCGGACUAAGGUGAGAUCCUGUUGUCUUGCUCAUACUUUCCAAGUUGCGAGCAGCGGGCGCAUCACCGGCCCGUCCCAUGACGUAGACAUGUGACCUCGUGUUGUGUGCACCGUCGGGGUGGAGCAAGAGCGUACACGUUGAGACCCGAAAGAUGGUGAACUAUGAUUGUGGAGGUUGAAGACAGAGGAAACUCUGGUGGAGGACCGUAGCGAUUCUGAUGUGCAAAUCGAUCGUAUAACGUGAGUAUAGGGGCGAAAGACUAAUCGAACUAUCUAGUAGCUGGUUCCCUCCGAAGUUUCCCUCAGGAUAUCUGGCAUUCUGAGAAAUAAACAGUUUUAUCCGGUAAAGCGAAUGAUUAGAGGCAUUGGGGAGAAAUCAUCCUCAACCUAUUCUCAAACUUUAAAUGGGUGAGAAGCUUAACUCGCUUGAUUGGAGUUUUGCAUUGAAUGUGAGUGCCAAGUGGGCCAUUUUUGGUAAGCAGAACUGGCGCUGUGGGAUGAAUCAAACGUUCGGUUAAGGUGCCUAACACGACGCUCAUGAGAUACCACAAAAGGUGUUGGUUGGUCUAGACAGCAGGACAGUGGCCAUGGAAGUCGGAAGCCGCUAAGGAGUGUGUAACAACUCACCUGCCGAAUCAACCAGCCCUGAAAAUGGAUGGCGCUCGAGCGUUGGACCUAUACCGGACCGUUGCUGUAAGCUAGGCCUAUGCUGUGUGAGGGCAAGCUGCACUUGGUCUAGGCAUGGAGUGACGGCAACGAGUAGGAGGGUCGCUGUGGCUAGCGGGAAGCCUCAGGCGUGAGCCUAGGUGAAGCAACCACAGACGCAGAUCUUGGUGGUAGUAGCAAAUAUUCAAGUGAGAACCUUGAAGGCCGAGGUGGAGAAGGGUUCCAUGGGAACAGCAGUUGACCAUGGGUCAGGCGGUCCUAAGUGAUCCGGUAAAUCGGAACAGAGGCAGGGUGUCUGACAUGAUUGGUGUAAUGUAGGGAGCUGAGUGCUCUGCUUUCCAGCGCAAAUAAAAUACUACUGCUGUCAUUGUUUCUUUACUUAUUCAGUGAAACGGGAACAAAAUGGUAUCUUGGUUCAAAGGACAAAAGAGGGC